RNAcentral lists this ribosomal RNA (1165 nucleotides) under uncultured bacterium. RNAcentral describes it as "bacterial SSU rRNA". It matches the Rfam family "Bacterial small subunit ribosomal RNA", at positions 38 to 1188 of the family's 1533-position model. The record is from RNAcentral.
UGCGGGUGCUUACCAUGCAGUCGAACGAGAAAGUGGUCUUCGGACCGCAAGUAGAGUGGCGCACGGGUGAGUAACGCGUAGGUAAUCUACCCUUAUAUCUGGGAUAACAUUGGGAAACUGGUGCUAAUACCGGAUACACUUUACUGCUGCGGGGCAGUAGAGGAAAGGUGGCCUCUUGGUCAAAGCUACCGUAUAGGGAUGAGCCUGCGUACCAUUAGCUAGUAGGUGGGGUAACGGCCCACCUAGGCGACGAUGGUUAGCGGGUCUGAGAGGAUGAUCCGCCACACUGGAACUGGAACACGGACCAGACUCCUACGGGAGGCAGCAGUGAGGAAUAUUGCGCAAUGGGGGAAACCCUGACGCAGCGACGCCGCGUGAGUGAGGAAGGCCUUCGGGUCGUAAAGCUCUGUCAGAAGGGAAGAAGUGUUAGAUGGUUAAUACCCAUGUAAUUUGACGGUACCUUCAGAGGAAGCACCGGCUAACUCCGUGCCAGCAGCCGCGGUAAUACGGAGGGUGCUAGCGUUGUUCGGAAUUACUGGGCGUAAAGGGCGCGUAGGCGGCUGGAUAAGUCAGAUGUGAAAGCCCACGGCUUAACUGUGGAAGUGCAUUUGAAACUGUCCGGCUUGAGUAUCGGAGGGGAGUGUGGAAUUCCCGGUGUAGAGGUGAAAUUCGUAGAGAUCGGGAGGAACACCGGUGGCGAAGGCGACACUCUGGACGAAUACUGACGCUGAGGCGCGAAAGCGUGGGGAGCAAACAGGAUUAGAUACCCUGGUAGUCCACGCCGUAAACGAUGUGAACUAGAGGUAGGUGGUGUUGAUCCCAUCUGUCUCGCAGCUAACGCAUUAAGUUCACCGCCUGGGGAGUACGGUCGCAAGAUUAAAACUCAAAGGAAUUGACGGGGGCCCGCACAAGCGGUGGAGUAUGUGGUUUAAUUCGACGCAACGCGAAGAACCUUACCUGGGCUUGACAUCCCGAGAAUCUUCUGGAAACAGAGAGUGCGUCAUUAGAUGAACUUGGUGACAGUGCUGCAUGCUGUCGUCAGCUCGUGUCGUGAGAUGUUGGUUAAGUCCCGCAACGAGCGGCAUCCCNNNUUUAGUUGCUAGCAGUUCGCUGACACUCUAAAGACUGCCGGAUGUAANACGGAAGGAAAGGUGGGANNUGACUC